GAAGGAGGCUCUCACUGGGAAGUGAUCUUGCCAGAUGGAGGAACAUGAAGAGUCAUCGUUCCGCAAACUCCAUCCUAGAGCACAAGUGAGGGUUUAUAAGUGAAGAAACGGAGGCUCUGAGCAAUGAAAAGGUUUGCCCACUCAGCAAAUGUCAGAACCAGAAGUCCAGUCUGCGAUUCCCCAAAGCAAAGUGCCUUUGCCACCCAAAGCUACAUCUGGGGGCACCUGGCCCUGCAGGUCUCUCUGGAUCUUUCUUCGCUCACCAGGGGUCAGGACCCGUCACUCUGAAAGGACUGAAAUGGGACUGGUCGGGAUUUAGGGUUCUGCCAAAG
Long non-coding RNA from Eptesicus fuscus (big brown bat), 332 nucleotides. RefSeq lists it as uncharacterized. Lineage: Eukaryota; Metazoa; Chordata; Mammalia; Chiroptera; Vespertilionidae. The transcript is spliced from 3 exons. The record is from RefSeq and is a predicted model, not a curated record.